AUUGAACGCUGGCGGCAGGCCUAACACAUGCAAGUCGAACGGUAGCACAGAGAGCUUGCUCUCGGGUGACGAGUGGCGGACGGGUGAGUAAUGUCUGGGAAACUGCCCGAUGGAGGGGGAUAACUACUGGAAACGGUAGCUAAUACCGCAUAACGUCGCAAGACCAAAGUGGGGGACCUUCGGGCCCCACACCAUCGGAUGUGCCCAGAUGGGAUUAGCUAGUAGGUGGGGUAAUGGCUCACCUAGGCGACGAUCCCUAGCUGGUCUGAGAGGAUGACCAGCCACACUGGAACUGAGACACGGUCCAGACUCCUACGGGAGGCAGCAGUGGGGAAUAUUGCACAAUGGGUGCAAGCCUGAUGCAGCCAUGCCGCGUGUAUGAAGAAGGCCUUCGGGUUGUAAAGUACUUUCAGCGGGGAGGAAGGCGGUGAAGUUAAUAACUUCACCGAUUGACGUUACCCGCAGAAGAAGCACCGGCUAACUCCGUGCCAGCAGCCGCAGUAA
Molecule: ribosomal RNA, 504 nt
Filed under: uncultured bacterium
Lineage: Bacteria
Description: partial 16S ribosomal RNA
Rfam family: Bacterial small subunit ribosomal RNA
Source: RNAcentral